Oncorhynchus tshawytscha (Chinook salmon) is the source of this 1362-nucleotide long non-coding RNA. NCBI's taxonomy places the organism in Eukaryota, Metazoa, Chordata, Actinopteri, Salmoniformes, Salmonidae. The record is from Ensembl.
UAGAGAGGACCAGAGUGACUGGUAGGGUCUGGUAGAGAGGACCGGAGUGACUGGUAGGGUCUGGUAGAGAGGACCGGAGUGACUGGUAGGGUCUGGCUGGUGGUAGAGAGGACCAGAGGGACUGGUGGGGUCUGUCUGGUGGAUGAGAAAUAUGAACACUUAAUCUGUUGGCCUUGCUGAUUCUGCUCUCUGCCUCUCUCUUCAUAGCCAUUACCACAUCUCUCAGGGCCAGGAUGGGGACUGUGUGUGUGUGUGUGUGUGUGUGUGUGUGUGUGUGUGUGUGUGUGUGUCUGUGUCUGUGUCUGUGUGUGUGUGUGUGUGUGUGUGUGUGUGUGUGUGUGUGUGUGUGUGUGUGUAUAGCUGACAGGGAAGAUAUCAGGGCUGGUGGUUGUUUGUGCCAGGAUCUGGUCUUAUAGCACAACAUUAAUCACACCCCUCCUCUCCACUACUCUCCCCUCCCCUCCUCUGCAUAAUAUCCCCACCUUUCAUUGAUAUGCUUUACGACCACUCUUGUAAAGUUGUGGCAGAAGAUACAUAUUUUAUAACCUCAUAGCCAAGUUAUGAUUAUGUUUGGAAUGGGCUGGGUGAGUUGUAGGAGACUGAAUACACACAGCAGAGCUUUGGCAGGUGUUGAGAUGUUCACCAUUCAGACCUGAAUGAAUAAGGUUUCUCAUGUUAUAAAUGAGAUGUUCACCAUUCAGACCUGAAUUAAUAAGGUUUCUCGUGUUGUAAAUGAGAUGUUCACCAUUCAGACCUGAAUUAAUAAGGUUUCUCAUGUUAUAAAUGAGAUGUUCACCAUUCAGACCUGAAUUAAUAAGGUUUCUCAUGUUGUAAAUGAGAUGUUCACCAUUCAGACCUGAAUGAAUAAGGUUUCUCGUGUUGUAAAUGAGAUGUUCACCAUUCUGACCUGAAUGAAUAAGGUUUCUCGUGUUGUAAAUGAGAUGUUCACCAUUCUGACCUGAAUGAAUAAGGUUUCUCGUGUUGUAAAUGAGAUGUUCACCAUUCUGACCUGAAUGAAUAAGGUUUCUCGUGUUGUAAAUGAGAUGUUCACCAUUCUGACCUGAAUGAAUAAGGUUUCUCGUGUUGUAAAUGAGAUGUUCACCAUUCAGACCUGAAUGAAUAAGGUUUCUCGUGUUGUAAAUCACUUUGACUCUGAAUUUGUGUUAUAUUUUGCAGGGUGUUGGUGGAUCUCCUGGCGGAUCAGGAAGAGAUGGACCAGUUGGACAGAGGGUAACAGUCUAUUCAUUUUGUUUGACUUACAGAUUCAUUAUUUCCAUGAUGUUUUGUAUGUACAUUUUGUUUGUACGACCUGCUCAAAGCCUGAGCGCCCUGAGCUCUUUAGCUCAAUUUUAAAUAUUAAAG